Myotis daubentonii (Daubenton's bat) is the source of this 1084-nucleotide long non-coding RNA. RefSeq lists it as uncharacterized. The record is from RefSeq and is a predicted model, not a curated record. Lineage: Eukaryota; Metazoa; Chordata; Mammalia; Chiroptera; Vespertilionidae.
CUGCCUGAAGAUACAAAAAACUGGUUAGACAAAUUCAUCAUUUCACUGGUUUCAUUGAGACAUUCAAGAAAAGUUGGGAGAAUGUUAAUCUGUCAAUUUAAUCCUCUGAGGGGAAAAAAUGUAUAACCAUCAGGUAUUCUUGAGCGAGUGAUAAAUUUUCUAAAAAUUAGCAAGGUAGAUUCUCAAACUAAAUGUGAAUGAAGUGGUUUCCUGGAACUAUACCCAAUUCAGGAGCUGGUCACAGACCAAAGUAUCUCCAGUAAGAAGCUGCUGUCAAACCGAGUAUCCUUAUGUUUUAUGUAUGUACAAAGGAGAUAACCAAAUGGCCUCAUUCUAGCAAGCUUUUCUUACAAAAUCCAAAUUCCUCAUUCUGAAAACGAAACUGUCCAACUGUAAUCCAGACUAUGUAGAACUUUAGUAUAAGACAAACACAGCGUUAUCAGAAUCAACCUUCCAAUUUCCAAACCCCAAAACCAACAGACAUAUUAAAAUUAAGAUUACAUUUUUAAAACUACAACCACCACCACCAAAAAACCAGAACAGAAAACUGAACAGAGUCAUAAGUUCUACAUUGCUAGGCUAGUUAAGAAACCACAAAAUAAAACAUAACCACAAACACAAAAGUAGGUAUGUGCUGUAUUAAAAUAAAUCUGUAUGAAUUUCUUUUCCUUACUACCGCUAAUGGCCUAUGUAGUAAGGAAAGCUUUUCAAAGUUAAUACUUAUCCUGGAAAAUUUCAUUGCUUACUGGUAUUUAAAAACCUAGUUAAUAUUCAAAUGAAGUUUAGUAUGUCAUCUAAGACAAGCGCUCUAAUCCCUUUUUUUAUUUUUUUCAGGGGAGAGUGGGAACGCAGUCCGCCAUUACCACAAAUUAUGCAGUCAAAUCUCCCACAUUUGGGGGAAUUGCAGGGGUCAGCACAUCCAGAGUACAGUGGAUAAGCCUUGCCCUGGGAAAACCACCUUCUUGAUCACGGUAUCUCCCCUGUCAGGCAUGAAGUUCAUUUUAUAUUCCCGAGAAACCAAAAGUGACCCAAUUUACCAAGUUUUUAUCACCCCAUUUUCAAACAGAAAAGUUCAAAAAAACAA